This 425-nucleotide long non-coding RNA is filed under the name Crocodylus porosus (Australian saltwater crocodile). Its description in RNAcentral is "lncRNA (ENSCPRG00005017748.1)". Lineage: Eukaryota; Metazoa; Chordata; Crocodylia; Crocodylidae. The record is from RNAcentral.
CUUCUGAGCCUGCCCAGCUACCUGGAAAAAAGUGAUGCGAAUUGCCAAACUAAAGACUUACAUGUGACCCAACCAGCCAAAAGAAUGCACAGUAGCAUUAUGUAACCAUAGAGAACACUCACAGUGCUCCUGUAAACUGAGAAAACUGCUUGAAGAGACAGUAUCUACCUCACAAGUAAACCAGCAGGGGUUUUACAAAUUAAAAAGCUAGUAACUACAGUGGAAAAAGCAGAUAAAGCUACCAGGGGAAAAAGAGGAAAGAUGACAGGAAAAAGAGGUGGAGAAAGGAUGAAAAGUACAUUUUAUAAGUAGAUAUAGAAGAUUAAAGAAAAACUGAAGAAUUGAUAAGAACAGUCAUGAUGAAAAGCACUGGGCAUCCACACAGUUUUUUAACCAGAUGUUCUGGAACCACAACACUGUUCCAG